UGGGGUUUAGCCAAGCGGUAAGGCAUGGGACUUUGACUCCCACAUUCACAGGUUCAAAUCCUGUAACCCCAGCCA
This 75-nucleotide transfer RNA is filed under the name Caudoviricetes sp. Its description in RNAcentral is "tRNA-Gln". It matches the Rfam family "tRNA". Rfam says of the family: Transfer RNA (tRNA) molecules are approximately 80 nucleotides in length. Their secondary structure includes four short double-helical elements and three loops (D, anti-codon, and T loops). The record is from RNAcentral. Lineage: Duplodnaviria; Heunggongvirae; Uroviricota; Caudoviricetes.